GACUGCCACCCUGAACAUGCCCAAUCUUGUCUGAUCUCGGAAGCUAAGCAGGGUCGGGCCUGGUUAGUACUUGGAUGGGAGACCACCAAGGAAGAUCGGGUGCUACAGGCU
This 111-nucleotide ribosomal RNA is filed under the name Pteropus alecto (black flying fox). The record is from RNAcentral. Lineage: Eukaryota; Metazoa; Chordata; Mammalia; Chiroptera; Pteropodidae.